This 573-nucleotide long non-coding RNA is filed under the name Mus musculus (house mouse). RNAcentral's name for it is "long non-coding RNA chr8:23485406-23485979". Lineage: Eukaryota; Metazoa; Chordata; Mammalia; Rodentia; Muridae. The record is from RNAcentral.
UAAUGUGCUGUUCAUAGCAGCCUGGCGCAAGAGAGCAGACCGAGGCCACAGUCAUUAGUGAAAAGUGACUUCAUGGGUUCCGGGUGCCACACCCAACUAGGGGACUAGUUUUCUCUGAGAACUUAACGGGAAGCUCACGAGCAACAGGGCCUGUGUGUGUGUGUUGCACACGUAAUAGUGGUUCCCAAACUCCCUGGCAAAGCACUGGCACCCAGUCAGUGCUUAAUAAGAGUAUAAAUGAAUGAAUGCAGACUGUGACAUGCUCAUUUCCUUGUACUGCUGAAAAUUGGAGCAAGCGAGUGAGCGAGGGAGAGAGAGGGAGAGAGAGAGAGAGGGAGGGAGAGAGAGAGAGGAGUGAAAUGGCUUGCUUGCAGCCACACAUCCAGGACAGAAUGAGCCAUUCUUCUAGUUAUAAGCCCUAUCACUUCCACUCCCUUUAAAUUUCCUGUAAGGAUAGGCCUGGAGCAUUGGCUAUAUAGGAAGAAUUAGCUUCCCAGUGAGUGGUUCUAAAGAGCCUAAUAGGAAAGCUACUGCUGUUCUGGGGAAACAAAGAGCCUCUUCUUAGAAUGUGGC